RNAcentral lists this small nuclear RNA (116 nucleotides) under Suricata suricatta (meerkat). Its description in RNAcentral is "U2 spliceosomal RNA (ENSSSUG00005002475.1)". It matches the Rfam family "U2 spliceosomal RNA", at positions 1 to 106 of the family's 192-position model. Rfam says of the family: U2 is a small nuclear RNA (snRNA) component of the spliceosome (involved in pre-mRNA splicing). Complementary binding between U2 snRNA (in an area lying towards the 5' end but 3' to hairpin I) and the branchpoint sequence (BPS) of the intron results the bulging out of an unpaired adenosine, on the BPS, which initiates a nucleophilic attack at the intronic 5' splice site, thus starting the first of two transesterification reactions that mediate splicing. The record is from Rfam by way of RNAcentral. Lineage: Eukaryota; Metazoa; Chordata; Mammalia; Carnivora; Herpestidae.
AUCGCUUCUCGGCGUUUUGGCUAAGAUCAAGUGUAGUAUUUGUUCACGUCAGCUUAACAUAUAUUAGCCUUAAAGCCUGUAACCUUGAUAUUAUUCAUUUAUUAGUUCCAAUUUUU